Molecule: ribosomal RNA, 419 nt
Filed under: bacterium
Lineage: Bacteria
Description: partial 16S ribosomal RNA
Rfam family: Bacterial small subunit ribosomal RNA
Source: RNAcentral
UGGUGGAUAUUGCACAAUGGGCGAAAGCCUGAUGCAGCGACGCCGCGUGGGGGAUGAAGGCCUUCGGGUUGUAAACUUCUUUUGCUCUGAACAAGGCAUGCUAAUGGGUGUGUUGAGUGUAGGGGUUGAUUAGCGCCGGCUAACUACGUGCCAGCAGCCGCGGUAAUACGUAGGGCGCGAGCGUUGUCCGGAAUUAUUGGGCGUAAAGGGCUUGUAGGUGGCUGGUUGCGUCUGUCGUGAAAGCUCAUGGCUUAACUGUGGGUUUGCGGUGGGUACGGGCUGGCUUGAGUGCAGUAGGGGAGGCUGGAAUUCCUGGUGUAGCGGUGGAAUGCGCAGAUAUCAGGAGGAAUACCGGUGGCGAAGGCGGGUCUCUGGGCUGUUACUGACACUGAGGAGCGAAAGCAUGGGGAGCGAACAGG